Molecule: long non-coding RNA, 2981 nt
Organism: Papaver somniferum (opium poppy)
Lineage: Eukaryota; Viridiplantae; Streptophyta; Magnoliopsida; Ranunculales; Papaveraceae
Exons: 5
Source: RefSeq, a predicted model, not a curated record
UUUCCUUGGCCUACACUUUUUCUCUCAUUUUUAAUGAAUGGUUUAAUGGUAAGAGUAAUUUGGAACCGAUAAAUUCUCUAUUAUGAUUAUUUGGCAUUUUAAUAAAAUGGUAACAAACUAAUAAUUUAUUGGCAUCUGCAUAUACUUAUUUUCUGGACUGGGUACUACAAGGUAUUUUCCUGAAUAGGCUAUAUACCUAUAGUAUUCAUAGUUCGGAGCUGCUAUCCGCAACAACCCGGAAGGUAAUCUGGUUGUACUAUUUUCUUACGUAUUGGACGUCUCUAGAGAUUCGCUAUGAGUAAAACAAGACAUUCCAAUCAAACAAGUAUGAACAAAGCUUUAAAGGAACUUUCAAUUUUCAAUUGUGAUGUCAUUCUUUCUGUGUUACCUCAGUGACUUGGCAAAGAUUUUGAUUAUAUGGCUUGACAUCUUCCUUGAAUCUACUUUUUGACUUUUAGGAUGGAAGACUAUAUUACUUUGGGAGGCAUAGUAGAAAUCCAAUUAUGUUUUUAUUUCCUUAAACCAAUGAAAUCUUCUUGAAUAAGUAAAUUAAGGGUGACCCAAAUUUUUUGUUUUACACACUACUACUCUUCUAUGAAAAAUCCUGUUUACACCCAUCAGCUGUAUUCAACAAAAAAUUAAUAGAAUAGUACAUAGAUGUUGAGGAAGUUGGAGAUAAGAAUGGGAAAGGACUGGAAUUGAAAUGAGUUGUCCCAAACUAAGGGCAUCAAAGUUGGAUUUUGCCUACGAUUCAAUCUCUAUGAUUGUGUUGAUGUCGAUUCAAUAUAAUAUCGUUGGAUUUUUAUUUCUAUGCUUCAUUGUUUUCUGCUCUUUUGCUAAAUAUGAUUUGUGGAGUGAAUGGUGUGUAUUCAAAACUGGUGGAUCAAAAUCCAGGUACUGUGUUAGCUAGCUAGGUGAAGAUAGAGAGGAAGUAGAAACAACAAUGAAGAGAACAACAACAUAAAAAAGAAAAAACAGGAGCACCCUUCUAGAAAGUCCUCUUAAUUUUAAAAGCUCAUAUACAGAAGUCAGAGUUGGUCAUUCUAUAACCUUUAAGCUCACAUCACUUUUUUGGUUAUUCUGGGACUAGAAAUCCAGUGAGCAAGGAACCUCAAGUGAUCAGUUACCGCCGAUGGUUUGUGGGGACAAUCGACUAUAAGUUAUGUUACAUCUUGGGUGUUAUCUGUAUCUUUAAUUUUUCUCAAAUCAAAUUGAAUUUCUCGUAUAAAAAUUUGAUUUAAUUGCUCCACUAGGUACUAGCUGCUAUCUUCGUUUCCUAAGCUCUCAACUACCUUUGUGUUAUCCUUUCUAAGGAUGUUUCGGCAAUUGUCCAUAUUUUGUUUUAACGUUUUGCAAUAAAGCUAAGUUGUGGAUUUCUUAUUUCGGCAGAUUUUCAUAGAUGCACAUGGGAAUAGGUCUGAAAAGUUUCAAGGUAUUGGGAUUGCUUCGCGUUGUUGUAGCUGUUCUUACGACUUCUAAGAAGAAUGCCGAUGGUAGGUUACUAGCAUACUGCUUCACCAAUCGGCUGGCAUAGUUGCGCCCGUGAGUAAAUGUAUGGUUGAUGCAUUCAGGAUAACAAUAUGGAAUGAAGGUUUUGGAGCAUUGGGAAAGAGUUCGAUUGGUGAAGGUCAGGCUUUUUUCCAGCUUUGCUUUGCUGUGUCAUAGGCUGACAACAGAUCCCGAUCACCGAUCGAUUUGUAUGCUUUCAAAGCCAUUCCUUGGUGCAGUAUGGCAUAUCUAUUUUGUGUUGAACCUUCGAGUAAGUUAUUAUAUUUGAUCAUGAUAUUAGUUGAAAUGACGAACUGAAAUUUAUGUUGUUUCAGACCCAUUUAAUUAUGGGUUCUAUUUCUAUUAGAGACCAUUAUUUGUUCUGCAUUUAUUUUCCUGACUUUUGUAUUAAUAAGUGGAAUUAUAUCAAAUAGACCGCUGCAUAAUACAUAAAGCUUAGUUUCCCAUUAUUGCAGUUCCAUUGUUUCUAUUUAAAAGACUAGCACCAGGUAUGUCCUGUUUCUGUCCAAUACUAAGACAAGUAUUUUAAACUACGGAAUAUGACGCAAUGGUAGCGCAUUUGACUCCAUGUCAGAAGGUUACGUGUUCGAUUCAUGUCAGGUCCAUCCCCAGUUUUUAACCACGUUUGGGAAAGGUUGUUGGUCAUGUAGAAGAAAAUUUGUUGAUUAGUCGUUCAUGUUUUUCUAUUUUAUAGUUUUAUUUAAGAAUGGUUGACGUGUUCAUGCCAUAAAUGGAUUUAAAUAACACACUUCUUGGUUGGAGGUAUAAUGUACAAGUUCUUUCGAGUUAUUUGCUGUCCGAUCUGAGGAUUUUGCAUCCCGUGACAUAAAUCUCAUCUACACAAUUUUUGCUUUUUCAUUUCUGACGUAAUUGCUUGACCACUGUGUUUUCUUUUUGUUCCUUGAUGCUUAACAUGAUCAUGCACACAACAAAAUAUUGAUCCAUAAACUACAAUUUUCUAUUGUUCGGGCGGCGUUAAUUUGACAUACAAACACUCGGACUGAGGUUAUUCCUGCUUCUGGUAGGAGCAUCUCAUGUCAUUUUGAACAACACCAGGUGAUCAUUACUCAAGACGGAAACAAUUAGGGAAAAACGAAAAUGGUGAAUUUAUAAGCGCCAUAGAAAUUUCUACGAUUGGUAUGUAGGAUCAGAAUCUCGCAACAAUAAUGCCUCAGCGAAAUUAUCAACAACACAACACAACAGCGUCGCAGAACAAUUUCAGAAAUGACAUAAUAAACGACGUCAGCUAAAAUCAUGAGAAAAAUGUGAUGGUUCUGCGAAAAUAAGAGAGUUUGCGAGAUUAACAUUUGUAAGGCCGCGAGAAUGUCGCAAGCCAUAUCCGAAAAUAAAGGACAGAUUAGCUGUCAUCCACUAUGUACUUCCCUAUAAAUAGUCGUUCAUUUGUAAAGGAAAGAAAUAGAUCUUUUUCUGAGUGAAAAGCAAGUAAUUGGAGAGAGAAAAUCUAGAGCAGU